CUGCAGCUCAAGUGGUGACCACUAUUAUUGGGCCUAAAACGUUCGUAGCCGGUUUGGUAAAUGCCUGGGUAAAUCGUGUAGCUUAACUAUACGAAUUCCGGGUAGACUGCCAAACUUGAGACCGGGAGAAGCUAGAGGUACUCCUGGGGUAGAGGUGAAAUUCUGUAAUCCUGGGGGGAUCACCAGUGGCGAAGGCGUCUAGCUAGAACGGGUCUGACGGUGAGGAACGAAGCCCUGGGGCGCAAACCGGAUUAGAUACCCGAGUAGUCC
This 270-nucleotide ribosomal RNA is filed under the name uncultured archaeon. RNAcentral's name for it is "partial 16S ribosomal RNA". It matches the Rfam family "Archaeal small subunit ribosomal RNA", at positions 477 to 747 of the family's 1478-position model. The record is from RNAcentral.